This 131-nucleotide antisense RNA is filed under the name Coxiella burnetii RSA 493. Its description in RNAcentral is "Coxiella burnetii sRNA 3". It matches the Rfam family "Coxiella burnetii sRNA 3", at positions 1 to 131 of the family's 198-position model. From Rfam's summary of the family: CbSRs 2, 3, 4 and 9 are located antisense to identified ORFs. CbSRs are up-regulated during intracellular growth in host cells. The record is from Rfam by way of RNAcentral. Lineage: Bacteria; Pseudomonadati; Pseudomonadota; Gammaproteobacteria; Legionellales; Coxiellaceae.
GCCGUGAAAGCCCUCGAUUCUCUGUCUAUCGGUAGACGGCCUACGCACGGGAACGACGGACAUUUUUCAACUACUUGAUAUUCCCUCUUUACCUCGCUCGCUACGUUGACGCCUAUGCGCGCAGGCGGGAA